Loxodonta africana (African savanna elephant) is the source of this 59-nucleotide transfer RNA. It matches the Rfam family "tRNA". From Rfam's summary of the family: Transfer RNA (tRNA) molecules are approximately 80 nucleotides in length. Their secondary structure includes four short double-helical elements and three loops (D, anti-codon, and T loops). Further hydrogen bonds mediate the characteristic L-shaped molecular structure. tRNAs have two regions of fundamental functional importance: the anti-codon, which is responsible for specific mRNA codon recognition, and the 3' end, to which the tRNAs corresponding amino acid is attached (by aminoacyl-tRNA synthetases). tRNAs cope with the degeneracy of the genetic code in two manners: having more than one tRNA (with a specific anti-codon) for a particular amino acid; and 'wobble' base-pairing, i.e. permitting non-standard base-pairing at the 3rd anti-codon position. The record is from Rfam. NCBI's taxonomy places the organism in Eukaryota, Metazoa, Chordata, Mammalia, Proboscidea, Elephantidae.
AGUGGUUAAGCACUCGGCUGCUAACCGAGAGGUCGGGGGUUCAAACCCACCAGCCACUC